Molecule: long non-coding RNA, 2568 nt
Organism: Phascolarctos cinereus (koala)
Lineage: Eukaryota; Metazoa; Chordata; Mammalia; Diprotodontia; Phascolarctidae
Source: RefSeq, a predicted model, not a curated record
CUGGCAGUUUUCUCACUCAGUUUCCCAAUCUUGCCAGCCUUAUUAUCUCCCGGAACACCCACCACCAAAACAAAAACAAAAACAAAAACAAAAACACCAAAAUUAUAUAGAGAAUUAUGUGGGAAUGAGAUAGAAUCAUUAGUUGGGAAGUCAAGAAAUCUGAAAUCUGAGUCUCAGGCCUAUCCUUUUGAUUCUUUUACAAGGCCAGGCCUAGUCUUAGCCAGGUCUCUAGGCCACUAAGCAUAAGCAAGGAGGGUUCACAUUUGACAAGCUCUAUGCUGAUCUGAAGAAAUCUCAGCUUUUCCCCAUAUUUGUACUAUACCUUACUUCAAGAUUUACAAAACUGCUUUAUGAGGUCAUAGGAAGCUGGUUAGUCAAGGCAGUCUUGCUUGUGGACUAUUUCAGCACUGCUUUACUUAAAAAGCUCCCUUCUUUCAUCCCGUCGGCUUCCUCCUCCAUCAUUUAGUGACAUGUAGAAGGACACUGGAGAAUAGACCAGAACUGUAGUCAGAUAAAAGCAGAUGGCCUUACAAUGAUGAAAAAAGGAAGCAUGUCCUGACUCAUGACUAGAAGACCUAGAAAUAAGUGACAAAAUAAGAGGAGAAUGAUCUUCAAAGCUGAAAGGAUAGAACAUACAUCCAAGAUGGGUGAGGAGAUAAGAAGCGAAUCCCUGGCUGCUUCAAAUGAGCUGAAAUGUUCAGGCUAAAGGAGCUUUCAGAUAUCACUUCAGAAACAAAACCUGAAAUCUUGGGACAUCACAGGGAAUGGAAGAGGUGGAAAUGACCAGAAACUGACAAACGUUCUUAUUUUCAAGAAAGGGAAAAGGGUUUGGAGGUUUAGGUAUGUGCCAUAUAAAAUGAUCCGCGACCUCCUUCGGCCGGACGAGGACUGUCAAAUUAAACUACAAGGACUGACCAAACAACUGGUUACCUAGGUUUUGGUACCUAGUUUGCGGAGGUGUUGGCCGCCCAAAGGCGUUUAUUUGGAGAUCUUGGGGCAGAGGCUGUAAUGAUGCUGUUUACGAAGUCUUUCUCUCAGGACGCUGACACCUUGGAGAGUGCCCAGAGGAAGAAGGACAACCGGGAUGACUAGGAUCCUAGAAAACACGACAGUCCAUGAUGAUAACUAGCAUUUACAUAGCAUGUUAAGGUUUUCAAAGUGCUUUGUAACUUAUUUGAAAAACUUUUUAACAAUUGGUGCUGUCCAAAGGUGGAAUGAGUUGCCUGGGGAGGUGGUUUCCUGUGUAGGAGGUGUUCAGGAACACUAGCACCUUUAGUGUGGGGGCUUUCUGGGCCCUUUUCUGGGCUGCUCAUCCACCUGUGGUCUCUACCUUCCUCCAACUCUCUCACCUGUGGCUCCAAGAAGCUGUAGCGUGAGCAGCUGCCUCAUCCCAGUAAACCUCAGCAAUUUGGCUAAACUAGGUUGAAGGUAACCCAACAGGCCUCAAACUCAUUUGAUGAGUUAGGGUGAUAGCUAUCCCAAGCAUGUGAAGACCUCCCCCAGCAGAAUGGGAAGAUGAGAACAAUUUGUUCCAAAGGCCAUGAAGGUGGCUGAGGCAGAUGCUUUAGAGUGCUUGGAGAUUAGUCAGACAUGGAAGAUGCCAAGGUCACCCACUGCACUUCUGGACUUUUGUCCUGCCACUGGACUUCUUAUGCGACAUGACAUCCUCAAAUGAAGGACAAACAACAAGUGUUCAAGUAAAGACAGUAUGGACAUUUACUGGUGAUGUUGUGAAGGGGAUUCAUUCUCAGGGAUGGGUGGACUAGAAGGCCUCUAAGAUUCCAUCCUGCACUGAGAUUCUGCACCUUUCAUGUUAGGCACUGAAGGCCCCUGAUACCACACAAACUUGCAUGCCUUAAGAAACACCUACUCAGCUAUUCAUUCAUGUGUCUUUGGGAAUCCAUUUAUUAAACUGCCACCACUAUGUCUCCAUGACACUCUUGCUCCUUUUCUGUACCUACAGUUUCUUCUCAGGCCAUAUAAGAGUGGGUAGGCCUUUCUUUCUUCCUUUCCCUUCACCUCUCCCUCCACUCUUUCUGUAUCACUUAGACACCAUAUUAUGGUCAAGCAGGACAGAUAAUAGCAAGGGUGUCCUUCCCCCUUAUCUUCUCUUUCCAUCUACCUUGACCUCCCAAGUUUCCCAAUGCUAAUGGGAUGAGUGAUAUGACCGCUUAUACCCCUCAGUGAGCUAGAAUUUACCAAGUAUAAUACCUCCUAUGGGAUGGAGGACCACCAUAUCCUGAAUCCUAAGAUACUCCAGACUUUACCAUCUGCCUUUCUAUUACCCCCUUUCAGACUCCUAAGGGCACUGCCACCUGACCUAUUAAUGUGCUCUAAGGACCUUAGCUUUUCUAGUCUCCUCUAUGGAACCUUAGGAUUUCUGGGAUUCUCUAUCCAGCUGAAUUCUCUUCUCUGCACUAUCUCUUCCAAUUAGAGUGGCAGCUUCUUGAGGAUAGAAACCACCUUGUUUUUCCUAUCUGUAUCUCAGGUGCUGAGAAUAGUUCUUAGCAUAAAAUGAUGCUUUUUCAGUCACUAGCCACCAGCAAUGUCCUUCCUGCCAAACACUAG